RNAcentral lists this ribosomal RNA (497 nucleotides) under uncultured bacterium. RNAcentral's name for it is "partial 16S ribosomal RNA". It matches the Rfam family "Bacterial small subunit ribosomal RNA", at positions 28 to 507 of the family's 1533-position model. The record is from RNAcentral.
GAUGAACGCUGGCGGCGUGCCUAAUACAUGCAAGUCGAGCGAACAGACGAGGAGCUUGCUCCUCUGACGUUAGCGGCGGACGGGUGAGUAACACGUGGAUAACCUACCUAUAAGACUGGGAUAACUUCGGGAAACCGGAGCUAAUACCGGAUAAUAUAUUGAACCGCAUGGUUCAAUAGUGAAAGACGGUUUUGCUGUCACUUAUAGAUGGAUCCGCGCCGCAUUAGCUAGUUGGUAAGGUAACGGCUUACCAAGGCGACGAUGCGUAGCCGAGCUGAGAGGGUGAUCGGCCACCCUGGAACUGAGACACGUUCCAGACUCCUACGGGAGGCAGCAGUAGGGAAUCUUCCGCAAUGGGCGAAAGCCUGACGGAGCAACGCCGCGUGAGUGAUGAAGGUCUUCGGAUCGUAAAACUCUGUUAUUAGGGAAGAACAAAUGUGUAAGUAACUAUGCACGUCUUGACGGUACCUAAUCAGAAAGCCACGGCUAACUACGUG